This 507-nucleotide ribosomal RNA is filed under the name uncultured bacterium. RNAcentral describes it as "bacterial SSU rRNA". It matches the Rfam family "Bacterial small subunit ribosomal RNA", at positions 28 to 526 of the family's 1533-position model. The record is from RNAcentral.
GACGAACGCUGGCGGCGUGGAUUAGGCAUGCAAGUCGAACGGUAUCAUCCUUUCGGGGGUGAGAGAGUGGCGAACUGGUGAGUAACACGUAGGUUAUCUACCCUCAAGACGGGGACAACCCAGGGAAACUUGGGCUAAUACCGGAUGUGAGCAACUUUUAGUUGUUUGAAAGGUGGCGUAAGCUGUCGCUUGGGGAUGAGCCUGCGUCCUAUUAGUUAGUUGGUGAGGUAACGGCUCACCUAGGCAAUGAUAGGUAGGCGGCCUUAACGGGUGGUCGCCCACACUGGGAUUGAGAUACGGCCCAGACUCCUACGGGAGGCAGCAGUCGAGAAUAGUCUACAAUGGUCGGAAGACUGAUAGUGCGACGCCGCGUGAACGAUGAAUCCCUUCGGGGUGUAAAGUUCUUUUAUAUGUGAGCAGUGCUUCUUAUAUUAACAGUAUGGGGAGAGAGAUAUUAGCAUAUGAAUAAGCAACGGCUAACUCCGUGCCAGCAGCCGACGGUAAACU